RNAcentral lists this ribosomal RNA (114 nucleotides) under Acanthosepion pharaonis. The record is from RNAcentral. Lineage: Eukaryota; Metazoa; Mollusca; Cephalopoda; Sepiida; Sepiidae.
UUACGGCCACAUCAUGUUAAAACACCAGUUCCCAUAGGAUCACCAAAGUUAAGCAAUGUCAAGCCAGGUCAGUACCUAGAUGAGUAACCACUUGGAAAUACCAAGUGCUGUAAG